CCGCUAAUAACACAUUUCAGCUUCCCUUCCCCCAUUGCCUUUGCUUAAAACGUUAAUUCACUCACCUUUUUCCAGCGCUGCACCGAUCUUGCUGUGGUUGGCUCCACCCCUUUCCAACUUCGUGGAUCAUUAAAUUUGAGGAUUUCUGCCAAUCCAAUGCUUUGCCAUGGGAACCAGAACUGUCUACAGUGUCCAUUUUAAUGCUAAUUCCAGUCAGAAAUCUGUCAACCCAACCAAAUGUGCCUAAAUUGAUAUCGGGGGCAUAUCUACUAAACACAGAGUAGUCACAGGCUGCUAACUAACUAGAAACUAGCAACUGGGCAUCUAUUUCCCAGUGUGUAGAAAGGGAUCUGUUACUGGGGGGUAAUUUAUUACAGGUCCUCCUGUACCCUCACAAACAGGAAUAUAGGGGAGGGAGGUUUAAAUUCAAUAAUGCGUGUGGACAUGUCAUUGCCAGAGGCUGCUCGCUUUAAUUUAAAACUAGCGAUUGGGCAACUAUGACUG
Non-coding RNA from Pelobates cultripes (western spadefoot toad), 504 nucleotides. The record is from the annotation of a GenBank genome assembly. NCBI's taxonomy places the organism in Eukaryota, Metazoa, Chordata, Amphibia, Anura, Pelobatidae.